AUAGUGUGUCGGUCUAUCGCGGGAUAAGGGAAGAAAAACAUGUGUUUUAAUCCCCUAUUACGAGGAAAGUCCGGGCAGCAAAGAGCACCACAGCGGUUAAUGGCCGUCAGGCAGCAAUGUUUGGUCCCUGCAAAAGCGACGAACAAUCGAGUUAUCGAGGAAGUGAUACGAGCAUACUGUGGGCUGCAAUUCCAAGUAUACCAGUGUUUGAGCGCUGCUCGCGCAAGCUGGAGGGUAGGAAGCAAGAGAAGCAUGUAGCAAUACACUGCUCAAGAUUAAUGAUAGACACCCACUCAUGGGUACAGAACCCGGCUUAUAGAUACACUAUUUUU
RNAcentral lists this RNase P RNA (332 nucleotides) under Paludibacteraceae bacterium. Its description in RNAcentral is "RNase P RNA component class A". It matches the Rfam family "Bacterial RNase P class A". From Rfam's summary of the family: Ribonuclease P (RNase P) is a ubiquitous endoribonuclease, found in archaea, bacteria and eukarya as well as chloroplasts and mitochondria. The record is from RNAcentral. Lineage: Bacteria; Pseudomonadati; Bacteroidota; Bacteroidia; Bacteroidales; Paludibacteraceae.